UACGGGGGGGGCAAGCGUUGUUCGGAAUUACUGGGCGUAAAGGGCUCGUAGGCGGCCAACUAAGUCGGACGUGAAAUCCCUCGGCUCAACCGGGGAACUGCGUCCGAUACUGGAUGGCUUGAAUCCGGGAGAGGGAUGCGGAAUUCCAGGUGUAGCGGUGAAAUGCGUAGAUAUCAGGAAGAACACCAAUGGCGAAGGCAGCUCUCUGGGACGGUACUGACGCUGAGACGCGAAAGCGUGGGGAGCGAACAGG
Molecule: ribosomal RNA, 253 nt
Filed under: uncultured bacterium
Lineage: Bacteria
Description: partial 16S ribosomal RNA
Rfam family: Bacterial small subunit ribosomal RNA
Source: RNAcentral